AGUGAACGCUGGCGGUAGGCCUAACACAUGCAAGUCGAACGGCAGCACAGUAAGAGCUUGCUCUUACGGGUGGCGAGUGGCGGACGGGUGAGGAAUACAUCGGAAUCUACUUUUUCGUGGGGGAUAACGUAGGGAAACUUACGCUAAUACCGCAUACGACCUACGGGUGAAAGCAGGGGAUCUUCGGACCUUGCGCGAUUGAAUGAGCCGAUGUCGGAUUAGCUAGUUGGCGGGGUAAAGGCCCACCAAGGCGACGAUCCGUAGCUGGUCUGAGAGGAUGAACAAGCACAACUGGAAUGAAAACAGGGCCCGAAUUCUACCGGGAGCCGCAAUGGGGGAUAAUGGGACAAGGGGGCAAGGCCUGUCCCAGCCAAACGCGUUGGUGGAGGAGGCCCUUCGGUUGUAAAACCCUUUUUUUGGGAAAAAAAAGCAACAGGUUUAUAACCCCGCUGUUCUGACGGUACCCAAAGAAUAAGCACCGGCUAACUUCGUG
RNAcentral lists this ribosomal RNA (493 nucleotides) under uncultured bacterium. RNAcentral's name for it is "partial 16S ribosomal RNA". It matches the Rfam family "Bacterial small subunit ribosomal RNA", at positions 29 to 507 of the family's 1533-position model. The record is from RNAcentral.